RNAcentral lists this transfer RNA (81 nucleotides) under Candidatus Omnitrophota bacterium. Its description in RNAcentral is "Candidatus Omnitrophica bacterium tRNA-Leu". It matches the Rfam family "tRNA". From Rfam's summary of the family: Transfer RNA (tRNA) molecules are approximately 80 nucleotides in length. Their secondary structure includes four short double-helical elements and three loops (D, anti-codon, and T loops). Lineage: Bacteria; Pseudomonadati; Candidatus Omnitrophota. The record is from RNAcentral.
GGGCGGAUGGCGGAAUGGCAGACGCGCAAGGCUUAGGACCUUGUGGGGCAACCCGUGGAGGUUCAAAUCCUCUUCCGCCCA